This 586-nucleotide ribosomal RNA is filed under the name uncultured bacterium. RNAcentral's name for it is "bacterial SSU rRNA". It matches the Rfam family "Bacterial small subunit ribosomal RNA", at positions 338 to 916 of the family's 1533-position model. The record is from RNAcentral.
CCUACGGGAGGCAGCAGUGGGGAAUAUUGCGCAAUGGGCGGAAGCCUGACGCAGCGACGCCGCGUGGGGGAUGACGGCCUUCGGGUUGUAAACCUCUUUCGACUUCGACGAAGCUUUGUCGUUGUGAUACGGCGGGGUGACGGUAGGGGUGGAAGAAGCACCGGCCAACUACGUGCCAGCAGCCGCGGUAAUACGUAGGGUGCGAGCGUUGUCCGGAAUUAUUGGGCGUAAAGAGCUCGUAGGCGGUGUGUCGCGUCGGCCGUGAAAACCUGCAGCUUAACUGUGGGCGUGCGGUCGAUACGGGCAUCACUGGAGUUCGGCAGGGGAGACUGGAAUUCCUGGUGUAGCGGUGAAAUGCGCAGAUAUCAGGAGGAACACCGGUGGCGAAGGCGGGUCUCUGGGCCGAUACUGACGCUGAGGAGCGAAAGCGUGGGGAGCGAACAGGAUUAGAUACCCUGGUAGUCCACGCUGUAAACGGUGGGCGCUAGGUGUGGGGGCCGAUUCCACGGUCUCUGUGCCGCAGCUAACGCAUUAAGCGCCCCGCCUGGGGAGUACGGCCGCAGGCAAAACUUAAAGGAAUUGACGG